AGGGGUACAGCUCAGUGGAAGAGCGCAUGCUUAGCACGCACGAGGCCCUGGGUUCAAUCCCCAGUACCUCCA
RNAcentral lists this transfer RNA (72 nucleotides) under Camelus bactrianus (Bactrian camel). It matches the Rfam family "tRNA". Rfam says of the family: Transfer RNA (tRNA) molecules are approximately 80 nucleotides in length. Their secondary structure includes four short double-helical elements and three loops (D, anti-codon, and T loops). RNAcentral also lists the same sequence under 2 other names. The record is from Rfam by way of RNAcentral. Lineage: Eukaryota; Metazoa; Chordata; Mammalia; Artiodactyla; Camelidae.